AACGAACGCUGGCGGCAUGCCUAACACAUGCAAGUCGAACGAGACCUUCGGGUCUAGUGGCGCACGGGUGCGUAACGCGUGGGAACCUGCCCUUAGGUGCGGAAUAACUCCCCGAAAGGGGUGCUAAUACCGGAUAAUGUCUUCGGACCAAAGAUUUAUCGCCUUUGGAUGGGCCGGCGUUGGAUUAGCUAGUUGGUAGGGUAAAAGCCUACCAAGGCGACGAUCCAUAGCUGGUCUGAGAGGAUGAUAAGCCACACUGGGACUGAGACACGGCCCAGACUCCUAAGGAAGGCAGCAGUGGGGAAUAUUGGAGAAUAGGCGAAAGCAUGAUCCAGCCAUGACGCGUGAGUGAUGAAGGCCUUAGGAUUGUAAAGCUCUUUUACCCGAAAUGAUAAUGACAGUACCGGGAGAAUAAGCACCGGCUAACUCCGUG
Molecule: ribosomal RNA, 433 nt
Filed under: uncultured bacterium
Lineage: Bacteria
Description: partial 16S ribosomal RNA
Rfam family: Bacterial small subunit ribosomal RNA
Source: RNAcentral